This 587-nucleotide ribosomal RNA is filed under the name Basidiomycota sp. 3 HFP-2013. Its description in RNAcentral is "eukaryotic LSU rRNA". It matches the Rfam family "Eukaryotic large subunit ribosomal RNA", at positions 80 to 654 of the family's 3401-position model. Lineage: Eukaryota; Fungi; Basidiomycota. The record is from RNAcentral.
CUAGUUACGGCGAGUGAAGUGGGAAAAGCUCAACUUUGAAAUCUGGUACUUUCAGUAUCCGAAUUGUAGUCUCAAGAAGUGUUUUCUGUGCCGGUCCAUGUAUGAGUCUGUUGGAACACAGCGUCAUAGAGGGUGACAACCCCGUUCAUGACAUGGAUCCCGGUGCUUUGUGAUACACUCUCGAAGAGUCGAGUUGUUUGGGAAUGCAGCUCAAAUUGGGUGGUAAAUUCCAUCUAAAGCUAAAUAUUGGCGAGAGACCGAUAGCAAACAAGUACCGUGAGGGAAAGAUGAAAAGCACUUUGGAAAGAGAGUUAACAGUACGUGAAAUUGUUGAAAGGGAAACGAUUGAAGUCAGACGUGCGUGAUGCGGUUCAGCUCUAGUUCGCUAGAGUGUACUCCGUAUCUUUGCAGGCCAGCAUCGGUUUUGUUAGUCGGAUAAAGGUUUGAGAAAUGUGGCAUCUUCGGAUGUGUUAUAGUCUCAGACUGAAUACGAUUGAUGGGACCGAGGAACGCAGCGCGCCGCAGGGCAAAGGUUCCGACCUUUUCGCGCUUAGGAUGCUGGUGAAAUGGCUUUAAACGACCCGUCU